Molecule: ribosomal RNA, 390 nt
Filed under: Pleurosicya micheli (Michel's ghost goby)
Lineage: Eukaryota; Metazoa; Chordata; Actinopteri; Gobiiformes; Gobiidae
Description: partial 12S ribosomal RNA
Rfam family: Bacterial small subunit ribosomal RNA
Source: RNAcentral
GCCUAGCCUUAAACACAGAUGAUUGUUUUACUAUCAUUUUUCGCCCGGGAACUACGAGCUAUGGCUUGAAACCCAAAGGACUUGGCGGUGCUUUAGACCCCCCUAGAGGAGCCUGUUCUAGAACCGACUCUACCCGUUCAACCUCACCCCCUCUUGUUCCUUCCCGCCUAUAUACCGCCGUCGUCAGCUUACCCUAUGAAGGGUUAAUAGUAAGCACAAUUGGCAAAGCCUAAAAAGUCAGGUCGAGGUGUAGCUUACUGAGGGGGGACAGAAAUGGGCUACAUUUUCUGACCCAGAAAAUACGGACGUUGCACUGAAAAAGCAUCUGAAGGAGGAUUUAGUAGUAAGGGAGGAAUAGAGUGCCCCCCUGAAACCGGCACUGAAGCGCGU